AUCAGUUGUGGCCAAGGUGAUCUGUACUGGCAAAGGAUCACAGCAGGCUACAGCCAAUACGCAUGAUUCGUGCUGCACUAUAUCAUACACUACCAGCGGAUCAACCUUCGAGGCCGGACCUAUACACGUGAUGGAUUCAACUAGACAAGAAAAAGAUGCUACUAGGUGGGGAGCAACAUCACGUGGAUAAACUACCAAAUCAAAGGUAGAAGGCCAUGUGACUCAUUGUGGCACAUACUUCAAGAUCAGAUGGACACUCCGUCUAUUGUUGCAAUAGAGUCGCAACCAUGAAGGAACAC
RNAcentral lists this long non-coding RNA (299 nucleotides) under Hordeum vulgare. Its description in RNAcentral is "long non-coding RNA (HVUL_LNC003731)". Lineage: Eukaryota; Viridiplantae; Streptophyta; Magnoliopsida; Poales; Poaceae. The record is from RNAcentral.